RNAcentral lists this ribosomal RNA (253 nucleotides) under uncultured bacterium. Its description in RNAcentral is "partial 16S ribosomal RNA". It matches the Rfam family "Bacterial small subunit ribosomal RNA", at positions 524 to 776 of the family's 1533-position model. The record is from RNAcentral.
UACGUAGGGUGCAAGCGUUGUCCGGAAUUAUUGGGCGUAAAGAGCUCGUAGGUGGUCUGUCGCGUCGGCUGUGAAAACUCGGGGCUCAACCUCGAGACGUCGGUUGAAACCACCUGGCUAGAGUCCGGAAGAGGAGAGUGGAAUUCCUGGUGUAGCGGUGAAAUGCGCAGAUAUCAGGAAGAACACCCGUGGCGAAGGCGGCUCUCUGGGACGGUACUGACGCUGAGACGCGAAAGCGUGGGGAGCGAACAGG